CAAGUCGAACGAGGUUUGGUAGUUUGCGGUGGUGCUUGCAUCACCAAUUACCGAUCAAACCGAGUGGCGGACGGGUGAGUAACACGUGGGUAACCUGCCCUUCAGCAGGGGAUAACAUUUGGAAACAGAUGCUAAUACCGUAUAACCACGGAGACCGCAUGGUCUCCGGGUAAAAGAUGGCGCAAGCUAUCACUGAAGGAUGGACCCGCGGCGUAUUAGCCAGUUGGUGGGGUAACGGCCUACCAAAGCGAUGAUACGUAGCCGACCUGAGAGGGUAAUCGGCCACAUUGGGACUGAGACACGGCCCAAACUCCUACGGGAGGCAGCAGUAGGGAAUCUUCCACAAUGGACGCAAGUCUGAUGGAGCAACGCCGCGUGAGUGAAGAAGGCUUUCGGGUCGUAAAACUCUGUUAUUGAAGAAGAACGUGUGUGACAGUAACUGGUCAUGCAGUGACGGUAUUCAAUCAGAAAGUCACGGCUAACUACGUGCCAGCAGCCGCGGUAAUACGUAGGUGGCAAGCGUUGUCCGGAUUUAUUGGGCGUAAAGCGAGUGCAGGCGGUCUUUUAAGUCUGAUGUGAAAGCCUUCGGCUUAACCGAAGAAGGGCAUCGGAAACUGGGAGACUUGAGUGCAGAAGAGGAGAGUGGAACUCCAUGUGUAGCGGUGAAAUGCGUAGAUAUAUGGAAGAACACCAGUGGCGAAGGCGGCUCUCUGGUCUGUAACUGACGCUGAGGCUCGAAAGCGUGGGUAGCAAACAGGAUUAGAUACCCUGGUAGUCCACGCCGUAAACGAUGAAUACUAAGUGUUGGAGGGUUUCCGCCCUUCAGUGCUGCAGCUAACGCAUUAAGUAUUCCGCCUGGGGAGUACGACCGCAAGGUUGAAACUCAAAGGAAUUGACGGGGGCCCGCACAA
Molecule: ribosomal RNA, 911 nt
Filed under: uncultured Lactobacillus sp.
Lineage: Bacteria; Bacillati; Bacillota; Bacilli; Lactobacillales; Lactobacillaceae
Description: bacterial SSU rRNA
Rfam family: Bacterial small subunit ribosomal RNA
Source: RNAcentral